RNAcentral lists this ribosomal RNA (497 nucleotides) under uncultured bacterium. Its description in RNAcentral is "partial 16S ribosomal RNA". It matches the Rfam family "Bacterial small subunit ribosomal RNA", at positions 28 to 507 of the family's 1533-position model. The record is from RNAcentral.
GAUGAACGCUGGCGGCGCGCCUAAUACAUGCAAGUCGAGCGAACGGACGAGAAGCUUGCUUCUCUGAUGUUAGCGGCGGACGGGUGAGUAACACGUGGAUAACCUACCUAUAAGACUGGGAUAACUUCGGGAAACCGGAGCUAAUACCGGAUGAUAUUUUGAACCGCAUGGUUCAAAAGUGAAAGACGGUCUUGCUGUCACUUAUAGAUGGAUCCGCGCUGCAUUAGCUAGUUGGUAAGGUAACGGCUUACCAAGGCAACGAUGCAUAGCCGACCUGAGAGGGUGAUCGGCCACAAUGGAAAGGAGACACGGUCCAGACUCCUACGGGAGGCAGCAGUAGGGAAUCUUCCGCAAUGGGCGAAAGCCUGACGGAGCAAAGCCGCGUGAGUGAUGAAGGGCUUCGGAUCGUAAAACUCUGUUAUUAGGGAAGAACAUAUGUGUAAGUAACUGUGCACAUCUUGACGGUACCUAAUCAGAAGGCCAAGGCUAACUACGUG